This 301-nucleotide ribosomal RNA is filed under the name uncultured bacterium. Its description in RNAcentral is "partial 16S ribosomal RNA". It matches the Rfam family "Bacterial small subunit ribosomal RNA", at positions 509 to 809 of the family's 1533-position model. The record is from RNAcentral.
CAGCAGCCACGGGAAUACGGAGGGUGCAAGCGUUAAUCGGAAUUACUGGGCGUAAAGCGCACGCAGGCGGUCUGACAAGUCAGAUGUGAAAUCCCCGGGCUUAACCUGGGAACUGCAUUUGAAACUGUCAGGCUGGAGUCUUGUAGAGGGGGGUAGAAUUCCAGGUGUAGCGGUGAAAUGCGUAGAGAUCUGGAGGAAUACCGGUGGCGAAGGCGGCCCCCUGGACAAAGACUGACGCUCAGGUGCGAAAGCGUGGGGAGCAAACAGGAUUAGAUACCCCAGUAGUCCCUGUCUCUUAUCA